This is a long non-coding RNA of Nomascus leucogenys (northern white-cheeked gibbon), 399 nucleotides long. RefSeq lists it as uncharacterized. NCBI's taxonomy places the organism in Eukaryota, Metazoa, Chordata, Mammalia, Primates, Hylobatidae. The record is from RefSeq and is a predicted model, not a curated record. The transcript is spliced from 3 exons.
UGCAACUUUCUGCCUUCUGUUACCCAGGGGACUGUCCCCGGGGGAUGGCACAUUCCUGGAAGGUGGCAUGAAGAAAGGGUUCCGAACAAGCUCAGAACAGCCCACAGUCCUCUCUUCUUUGAAGGACAUUACAGUCCCUCCAGGUUGGAGGCUGGAGGAGGAAGAGGAUGUGGCUGAGUGUGGCACUGGGGCACGUGAAUGCCCACAUGCAGAGGGGAUGCUUGAAAAUUAAACCACCCAUAAAUCAAGGCAUUAUAAACGGGCUGUGAGUGUGGCCAGCAUUGACUUUUGGCAACAGAGGUCUGGAUUUGCUACGCCUCACGGGUCCUCUAAAGCUGUGCUCUCCUAGGCGAAUCCAUACAUCAGCCCUCUCCGGAGACCUGCUGGAUGGUCCUCACC